RNAcentral lists this long non-coding RNA (423 nucleotides) under Elaeis guineensis (African oil palm). RNAcentral describes it as "long non-coding RNA (EGUI_LNC078364)". The record is from RNAcentral. Lineage: Eukaryota; Viridiplantae; Streptophyta; Magnoliopsida; Arecales; Arecaceae.
GGCCAGGGUAGUCCUAGUGAGGAGUCACAGGACUGUUUGAAUUGAGCAUGAUUCAGAUGAUCUAAUCAGGGUUGACAGUUUAACCUUGAGUCGUCCUAAACACAGGGGUCAAAAAGAAUGAAUUAUAUAGUAACCAUAUUCACGUAGGUUUUGAGUGUUGCGAUUGUGACUUUUCGAUCUAUCUGGACGUCGAGUACCAUUGCUAGAUGGUCACUUCGAUUAGUACAGGAAUUGGUUCCUGUGCUAUCGGCUUAGGUUCGAACUUGCGGGGUCACACACAUUAGAGGUUUCUAUCUGAUCUGAUGGCUGAUGAAGAGUCCUAAUGCUCAUGGACUAUGAGUCCUACAUAUCUGAAACUCUGUGAUCAAGAAUCAGGAUUCUCUAAUCAUGAGUUCCACAUAUUUUGGGUACCGGGGUCAAGAG